Non-coding RNA from Zootoca vivipara (common lizard), 1507 nucleotides. Lineage: Eukaryota; Metazoa; Chordata; Lepidosauria; Squamata; Lacertidae. The record is from RefSeq and is a predicted model, not a curated record.
UUCUUCUAGCUCUUCUGCCACAAAGUCCAGAGAGGACAGGAGAGAGUGUGAGCAGCUGAAGUGAGAAGACUACCUAUCCUAUCCUUAAACAACUGUUUGUCAAGGAUCUUGAGGAGCAAUAGUGCGAAGAACAGGAGGUAGAAGGAAAAGAAGAGAGAAAGGAAAAGAGUUGGAAGGAGAAAAGUGUUAAGAAACCUGGAAGAGGAAUCCUCCGCGGAGUGGACUGAGGUUUACCGUAAAAAAUCGGGCUGGCAGCAGUAAAACUCUGAACUAAGUCCUCUGCCAUAAAGUCCGGAGAGGACAGGAGAGAGUGUGAGCGGCUGAAGUGAGAAGAUAAACUUCCCUAUCAUCAAACAACUGAUUCUCAAGGAUCUUAGGGAGCAAGUAAGUCUUAACAGAGGUCCUUCAAAGUAUUUCUCUCCCAGCCUGCUUUCCCCUUGCUCAGUUGGCAGCCUUGUGAUCCCAAUGAUGUUUGAUCUCCUGCUACUCUGAAGCUUUCCCCUAAGGUUAAUAGCAGCAUUGUAGGGAACAAGAUUAUUAUCAGAAUCAUGGGGUGGGGAGGGAAAGUUUCAAAUUCUCCUUUGCCUGCAAAUCCCUUCUGUGCUGAUGAGUUGACUGGGGAGCACCUGAGAGUGCUAAAAAGGAGGCUGGACAGCAAAGGUUAACAGUUAUCUGAAGCCCCCCAUCCCUGUUCCCAAUUGCCCAUGAAACUAGGCAAACGAUCUGGAACCUCCCCUACUCCCCCCUCCAACAUGGCUGAUCAGUGGAAAGAUACAUUGUGAGCCUCAUUAAAAUAGGCAGUGGGACAAAAGCAGUCUGAGCGGUGCAAAUGGCAUGCUUCUGAAGCAGAGUUUCAAAAACCUCCCCUCCUCUGUCUGCUGAGCAGUGGCAAAGCCCAUGGGGUUCCUGGCAUGCACCCAGGGUCUGUGGUCCUUUGGAGAAUUGAGACACAGCAGAGACUUUAUAAAAAAUAUGGUUUAUUCACCUAUUUAUGCUAUUUUCAGUCUGCAUGGAGGGAGUCCAGAUCUUACAGCAUGUUCUUUUCAAGAGGGAUUUAUCCCCCACAGUAGUGCAGCCCCAGGGCAUAUCUUCUAGCCAGCCUGCCCAAGAUGGACGCCAAUCUUUCUUCUUCCUUCUUCCUCCCAGCAACCCUUUCUCAAAACUCUUCAUUUCCUGCCACCUCAAACAAACACCCCAUCACUUGUGUAGGGAGAUACUUCAAGAGUGCCAACACUUGCCUUGGAAUCUUUUUGCUUGGAAAGAAGGUCACUGGAAACUGUGGUGUCUUCAGGGCAGUCUGGAGCAGGUCGGGCGUGUGGGAUGGAACACUGGGGCAGACAAGUCACAACAGUUCCUAGAGUGUCCACUAACAGGAACUCACCUGGAGGGACACCUGACUACAGGUCAGUUCCUGUUCCCUCAGACAUGCAAAUGAGUUGGAUUAGACAAAAGCCCUAGCCUGCAAUCACUCUCUCUCUUAGCUACUUCCUCCCUCGAUGAGGACACA